GGUGCAGCAGGCGCGAAACCUCCUCAAUGCACUAACGUGCGAAGGGGUUACCUCGAGUGCCACCUGAAGAAGGUGGCUUUUCCUUGGUCUAAAAAGCCUCGGGAAUAAGAGGGGGGCAAGACUGGUGUCAGCCGCCGCGGUAACACCAGCCCCUCGAGUGGUGGGGAUGAUUAUUUGGCCUAAAGCGUCCGUAGCCGGCCGUAUAAGUUUCCCGUUAAAUCCAACGUCUCAAGCGUUGGACUGCGGGAAAUACUGAACGGCUAGAGAGUGGGAGAGGUCAGCGGUAUUCUGGGGGUAGGGGCGAAAUCCUUUGAUCCCCGGAGGACCACCAGUGGCGAAGGCUGCUGACUAGAACACGUCUGACGGUCAGGGACGAAAGCUGGGGUAGCGAACCGGAUUAGAUACCCGGGUAGUCCCAGCCGUAAACGAUGCAUGCUAGGUGUUGGGUUGGCCACGAGCCACCCCAGUGCCGCAGGGAAGCCGUUAAGCAUGCCGCCUGGGAAGUACGAUCGCAAGAUUGAUUUUUUUCCGGAAUUGGCGGGGGAGCAC
Molecule: ribosomal RNA, 549 nt
Filed under: uncultured archaeon
Lineage: Archaea
Description: bacterial SSU rRNA
Rfam family: Archaeal small subunit ribosomal RNA
Source: RNAcentral